AAAAAAAAAAGAUUUUGAGUCCCACAAAUAAGGCAUCUUGCAACACAUUAUUAGCUUAGAAAGAACCCCACUGGAUUGAUUUAGUAUGCUUUGAAUCGAUUAGCUUAGAGAACCCCACUUGAUUGAUUCGCUCUACUGAUAGCGGUACAUUUGAUUCGCGUGCCUGAUGAAGUCCAUCUCGACCGGUUCUGUCGGCAGUUCGGCUACCAGUUUCCUCGUUAACAUCCAUCGGAAAACGGUUCUGCUGGGAAUUGGGAUCACAGGAAGUUGCUGCACACCUAUUAUCUGCUGGGAAUUGGGAUCACAGGAAGUUGCUGCACACCAAUGGGAUGCAUUUUCACCAUAUUUUGUGCGAGCCGAAUAUGUGUAUUGUAGGUUUCAUAUGAAAACAGUUACAAGGUGUCUGCUUUCAUGUGAACCAAAAAGAUCACUAACCAUGACAUUUUUCACUAAAUAUGUCAGUUCAUCUUCAUCGUUGUUUUUUUAGUUUGAGCUUUAGUCAAUGGAUAGAUAAUAAAAAGUACUAUGAGGAUUUAUGUCAUCUAGUGUUUGCUAGAGUUAUUUCAUUUCAUAGAAGGGUGCAGUUUUGCCUACGGAUGCAUCCGUAGGUGUAGAGGUAAGGCGCACCUUCAAAUUUUAUCGUGGUAUAUAAUUUUGAGGUAAGAUGUUCUUAAGAUUAUCUCAAAAUUUAAUUUUUAUAUCUAAUUAUAAAAUUUUAAAUUUCAAAAAUAGUUAAAAUCAAAUAGAUCUAUAAACAUAUGAAAAUCUUGAAAAUAGACAGCGUAGAUAAUAUGUUGUAAAAUGCACUAUUUAUCAUACAUCUCGAUGUCGAGAUGAUCAAUCAAAGGGUUUUUCAAUAUUAAAACUUCCUUUUCCGAUAGAUUUUUGAGGGGCAUCCGUAGUAUAAGGUAGCAUCCUUAUAUAAACUUUUUCCAUAUAAUGUUUAAUUCUAAUUAAGGACAUAGAUAGUUAAUGAUAUAAAAAAUACAUAAAUCUUAAAACCCCACUGUAUAGUGGGCUACAGAUUACCAACAAAAGAUGAUUUCUGACUGAGAUGACUGCAUAUUCACUGAUGAACUUUUUUUUAGAGUUACAAGGAGAAUUUAUAAAGUAAAAUUGAAAAACACACAUAUUUUAGAACAAUAAAAGACAUAAACGCCAGUACUUUGCAUCAUUGACUGGUCAAUCGUUUGGGUGAUAACAAUGAGUUAAACAUCAAUUCCCUACCUUUGGACUUGUGAAAUUUUGGAUUAUAUAAUUUUCUGGGGUUUUCUUCCAAAUACCCAAUAUUUAUUACUUACUUUUUCCUUUCGAAAUCGUCACAGAAACAUCAUAAUGGUUCUUUUAAUGCUUUAAUAGGUUAUGUUAGUCUCUCAAAGAUCAUUAUACCAGGCAAGUACUCUUUUCUUAGGAAGAUUAGCAGUGAAAUUGAAACCCAGGAUGAAAAAAUAUGGCUUCGAUUGGUUUGCUCUAGGGACGAACUUCAAUGGUUGAACCCUUGAUCACCAGCUUAGAAACCAAGUCUCUACCACUAGUCCAAACUCCAAAGAACAUGUAUUAUGCAACUACUAAAGACCAGUCUGAUUUUCUGCACCAUUUUCCUUUUAGUGUUUUCAGUGAUGAAUAAGUUCUAUACAUAUUUUAUUCAUAUUUAAUAGAAUAACUUGGAGGUAGCUUUUUAUAAUACUUUGUCAACUAUCAUGGAUAGAUAAUGAUUUCUGAUAUCUGAUCGUUGUUCUUUGUUAACUGCUUGGUGAAAUAAUAGAUUAGAAUUUCUAAUCAUUUUAGUUAAGUGACUGCGAAUGUUAUUGAUGAUAGUUGGACAGUUUUAUGUCAUUUUCCAUUCAAAUGCGUGGCAUCCACCUGUUUUCCCACAGGGACUGUAUUGGUGCAGUUCAGUCUUGAAAGACUGCAACCUCCGAAGGCCGUAAUGUCACCCAGGGGCAAAGAAAUAGUCACUAUUAUACAUAUUCUUGGGGUAGCUCAAUGAGGAGGAUCCAAAGAUCCAGUGUGGACCAGCUAUGCAAGCAUAGAUUUUCAAAAAAUGCUUUGCAAGUUCGCAUGAUGGGAAAUAUCAACUCAACAGCAACCUCAACCAAAAACACGGGCCCAAAGGCACUAAGUUCUUAAGAGGAACUCUAACAAGGAAGGAGCAAGCAUGGAGAGAGGGGGCAAUGGUAAGCAAAUCAAGUUAACCAUAUGAAUCAAUCAAGUACCAGCAAAUCAACAGGUGAUUUCAUCAAUCGAUUGUAACAUUACCCAGGUACUAUAAAGAAAACAAGAUUUCAAUUGUGAAGUGCCAUAGAUGCCGUUUGGUGCUCAACAAUCUUCAAACAGAUUAAAGCUCAUAUUUCAAUUUUCAUCCAUGAAACUAAGGCCAACAACAAAUGGAGUGCUCUACUUUCUUUGGUUAUAAGGAGCAUGAAUUCAUAGGGAAUUUCUAACAUCAAAACACACAACAUAUGGGCAUUCUAUUGAAAGACUCAAUGUUUAUACCAACACAAAUCUUAAAGUCUCCAAUCAUGGCCAAAUUGUAACUAAAAUGGUCUGGUCUGCAUCAAAAAGGAAAGCACACACACAAAAAAGGAAGAAGAGAACCUAAGACAAUCUCUGAUCAACAGAGGACAGCAGCAUUCAC
Long non-coding RNA from Amborella trichopoda, 2638 nucleotides. RefSeq lists it as uncharacterized. The record is from RefSeq and is a predicted model, not a curated record. NCBI's taxonomy places the organism in Eukaryota, Viridiplantae, Streptophyta, Magnoliopsida, Amborellales, Amborellaceae.